Molecule: ribosomal RNA, 301 nt
Filed under: uncultured bacterium
Lineage: Bacteria
Description: partial 16S ribosomal RNA
Rfam family: Bacterial small subunit ribosomal RNA
Source: RNAcentral
CAGUAGCCGCGGGAAUACGAAGGGUGCAAGCGUUAAUCGGAAUUACUGGGCGUAAAGCGUGCGUAGGCGGUUUGUUAAGUCUGUUGUGAAAGCCCCGGGCUCAACCUGGGAAUGGCAAUGGAUACUGGCGAGCUAGAGUGUGUCAGAGGAUGGUGGAAUUCCCGGUGUAGCGGUGAAAUGCGUAGAGAUCGGGAGGAACAUCAGUGGCGAAGGCGGCCAUCUGGGACAACACUGACACUGAGAGACGAAAGCUAGGGGAGCAAAUGGGAUUAGAUACCCCCGUAGUCCCUGUCUCUUAUAU